Long non-coding RNA from Brassica napus (rape), 1688 nucleotides. RefSeq lists it as uncharacterized. The record is from RefSeq and is a predicted model, not a curated record. The transcript has 5 exons. Lineage: Eukaryota; Viridiplantae; Streptophyta; Magnoliopsida; Brassicales; Brassicaceae.
UAUUUAUAUAAAAUACAGUUUGUUCUCUCCAGGUGAAGACACGUCGGAUGCCACGUCAGAAAUUCGGCUCACGACGGCGCGACACGUGUGCGUUUCAUUUAUUCACAUUUCUCUUGGGCCUGAAGUGAACGGUAUUGGACUCUCCAUCUCUCUAAUGUUGCUUCCUCUUGGAUACUUCGCUGUAACAUUAUCUAGGUCGUCGCCGGCAAAGUGGUUAUCAUGUUCAUACGCCAGCCAUGGAAUCGCGGUGUUAUGUUGACUGAUUGGAUUUCGACAUAUCCUGUUGGACAUAGCACCGAUGACUUUUCGAAUUGCUUCUACCUACCAGUGAAAGAAAUCCAUGAACGUUACACAUUUUGGCUGAAUUCAAGCGUCGCUAUUAAUGCUCUCAUUAACGAUGGAACCCCACUCUUCACACGAUUUGUGAUUAGACAUCUCCCAUUACUUAUAUUGUGUGAUCUUCGAGUAUAAAUAUGUAAGCUUCAUCCUCUGAAAUUCAUAAGUUUAAUUUUCACAAUUGUUAGAUUUCUAAAUUACAUAGUUAAGAAUGGCUACACCUAGGUUUGACUGCUUAGGUUUUGGGAGUCACUAAAUGUUAAGCGCCGCAGAGAGCUUAUGGGUAUAGAUAUGCUCCUCCUUUAUGCGAAGGCGACUCAUUCAAGCCACCGUCAAUACCUCCUGUAGAUUCCUUUUUAUCCAGCUGCAAUCUUUCCAUGUGAAACUGAUGGAGAAGCAAUGAACUCUGUUUUAUACUAUAAAGUUUUAAAUAAUUAUUUAAAGAGCUUUCACCUCAUUUGAAGAAAGCAUUCAGAUUCCUGGUGCAAAUGGUGGUUACAGACAAUACUGAUGCAGCCCAUUUUUGUUGCAUUGGAUGGGUCAAUAACAAAGCUAAUCAAUGUCCGUGCCUCUGAGGUUUCCCUGGUAUGGUUCGCCACAAGACCAAGCACAUGGUAAACCAAGGGGAAUAAGAACUGCUAUGUUGAAACAGAGUAUCCAAGCUCACUUGAAGCUUUGCGUAAUUGAUGAGCCAAGAAAAUUACAAUCUUUAAUGAGAUUUGAUGUGAGUGGUUUAUGGGUUUAGUAAUUAGGUGUUCAAGGUGAUGCAAAGUUUGAAUUAUUAUUCUUGAUUACAUUUUGAAUUCAUAAGAACGUGAUAUUUGGUAGCUACAGCUACCAAAGAAUAUAGUUCUGAAUGUAAUAAUUGUUUCCAUUCAGUUUUAUGGGUAUUUUUGAAAGGAAAAAAGUCUAAGCCAUCAAUGAGGAAAUCAUCAGAAGUGUACAUUGUCAACCAAUUACAUGUGAAUGGACCAUUUGAAUGGAGGUGAUGUUUUGUGUGUUGGUUGUGCUUCUUGCAAUGGCUUCCCUAAAACACAUGAGAUUCAGUUGACAUAUUUUGAUCCAGGGAGCUCAGUAACAACGCCACGAUCUCAUGGUCCGACCAAAGAUGCAGUUGGGUGAACAGUCCUUUUAUUGACGCUGUUCUGUCCAAAGAGAUUCUUUGAGAUUUUUAUUUUCAGAAAUUACAUAAUUAUCUAGCAAUAAUGACAAUAACAGUAGUGUCCCUAAUUUUUUUUUGUGUUUUUGUGUAAGAUAAAUUUCACAUCAAAAUUAUUUUAAACAUUAAGUAAAUAAUAAAAUGAUAUUGUGUAUUAUUCUGUGUGUUUUAAAUAAAUAUUUUACUUCGAUUC